This 607-nucleotide ribosomal RNA is filed under the name uncultured bacterium. Its description in RNAcentral is "bacterial SSU rRNA". It matches the Rfam family "Bacterial small subunit ribosomal RNA", at positions 331 to 929 of the family's 1533-position model. The record is from RNAcentral.
CCAGACUCCUACGGAGGCAGCAGUGGGGAAUCUUCCGCAAUGGACGAAAGUCUGACGGAGCAACGCCGCGUGAGUGAUGACGGCCUUCGGGUUGUAAAGCUCUGUUAAUCGGGACGAAAGGCCUUCUUGCGAAUAGUGAGAAGGAUUGACGGUACCGGAAUAGAAAGCCACGGCUAACUACGUGCCAGCAGCCGCGGUAAUACGUAGGUGGCAAGCGUUGUCCGGAAUUAUUGGGCGUAAAGCGCGCGCAGGCGGAUAGGUCAGUCUGUCUUAAAAGUUCGGGGCUUAACCCCGUGAUGGGAUGGAAACUGCCAAUCUAGAGUAUCGGAGAGGAAAGUGGAAUUCCUAGUGUAGCGGUGAAAUGCGUAGAUAUUAGGAAGAACACCAGUGGCGAAGGCGACUUUCUGGACGAAAACUGACGCUGAGGCGCGAAAGCCAGGGGAGCGAACGGGAUUAGAUACCCCGGUAGUCCUGGCCGUAAACGAUGGGUACUAGGUGUAGGAGGUAUCGACCCCUUCUGUGCCGGAGUUAACGCAAUAAGUACCCCGCCUGGGGAGUACGACCGCAAGGUUGAAACUCAAAGGAAUUGACGGGGGGCCCGCACAAG